AGUGAACGCUGGCGGCGUGCUUAACACAUGCAAGUCGAACGAGAACGGAUUAUAGCUUGCUAUAAUUGUCAGCUAAGUGGCGCACGGGUGAGUAAUGUAUAGGUAAUAUGCCUCUUACUAAGGGAUAACAAAUGGAAACGUUUGCUAUUACCCUAUACUCCUUAUUAACAUAAGUUAAUAAGGGAAAGAUUUAUUGGUAAGAGAUUAGCCUGUAUUGUAUCAGUUAGUUGGUGGGGUAAUGGCUUACCAAGACUAUGACACAUAACUGGUUUGAAAGGAUUAUCAGUCACACUGAAACUGAGACACGGUCCAGACUCCUACGGGAGGCAGCAGUGGGGAAUAUUGCACAAUGGACGAAAGUCUGAUGCAGCAACGCCGCGUGGAGGAUGACACAUUUCGGUGCGUAAACUCCUUUUAUAUGAGAAGAUAAUGACGGUAGUAUAUGAAUAAGCACCGGCUAACUCCGCGCCAGCCGCCGCCGUAA
This 484-nucleotide ribosomal RNA is filed under the name uncultured bacterium. Its description in RNAcentral is "partial 16S ribosomal RNA". It matches the Rfam family "Bacterial small subunit ribosomal RNA", at positions 29 to 523 of the family's 1533-position model. The record is from RNAcentral.